AGAGUUUGAUCCUGGCUCAGAGUAAACGCUGGCGGCGUGCUUAACACAUGCAAGUCGAACGGGAAUCAGUUUAGUGAGUAGCUUGCUACGAUCUGUUCUGAUUCUAGUGGCAAACGGGUGAAUAAUACUUGGAUAAUCUGCCCCCAAGAGGGAAAUAACCCCGGGAAACUGGGCCUAAUGUCCCAUAAUGUUCCAUAUCGCAUGAUUUGGAAUUAAAGGAUGCCUUCGGGUAUCGCUUGAGGAUGAGUCCAUGGCCUAUUAGCUUGUUGGUGGGGUAAAAGCUCACCAAGGCAAUGAUGGGUAGCUGACCUGAAAGGGUGAUCAGCCACACUGGCACUGAGACACGGGCCAGACUCCUACGGGAGGCAGCAGUGGGGAAUUUUGGACAAUGGGCGAAAGCCUGAUCCAGCAACGCCGCGUGAGGGAUGAAGGUUCUCGGAUUGUAAACCUCUUUUAGGGGGGAUGAGCCCUUGAGCAAUCAAGGGGGACAGUACUCCCAGAAUAAGCCACGGCUAACUACGUGCCAGCAGCCGCGGUAAUACGUAGGUGGCGAGCGUUACUCGGAAUUACUAGGUGUAAAGGGCAGGUAGGCGGUGUGAUAAGUUGAGGGUGAAAGCUCUGAUAAAAUCAGAGAGGUCUCUCAAUACUGUCAUGCUUGAGUGUGGUAUGGGGAACCGGAAUUCCUGGUGUAGCGGUGAAAUGCGUAGAUAUCAGGAGGAACACCGAUGGCGAAAGCGGGUUCCUGGGCCACUACUGACGCUGAGCUGCGAAAGCGUGGGGAGCAAACAGGAUUAGAUACCCUGGUAGUCCACGCUGUAAACGAUGAAAACUUGAUAUAGGAGGUAUCGACCCCUUCUGUGUCGAAGCUAACGCGUUAAGUUUUCCACCUGGGGACUACGGCCGCAAGGUUGAAACUCAAAGGAAUUGACGGGGGCCCGCACAAGCAGUGGAGCAUGUGGUUUAAUUCGACACAACGCGAAGAACCUUACCUGGGCUUGAAGUGCUGGUUGUACCCUCUCGAAAGAAUAGGGGACCCGCAAGGGAGCCAGUAGAGGUGCUGCAUGGUUGUCGUCAGCUCGUGUCGUGAGAUGUAUGGUUAGGUCCCAUAACGAGCGCAACCCUUGUCUCAUGUUGCCAUCUCCGGUUCGCCGGAAGGCACUCUUGAGAGACCGCCUCCGUUGAGGGGGAGGAAGAUGAGGAUGACGUCAAAUCAUCAUGGCCUUUAUGUCCAGGGCUACACGCGUGCUACAAUGGUCACUACAACGGGAAGCCAACCCGCAAGGGGGAGCAAAUCCCUAAAAAGUGGCCCCAGUUCAGAUUGAGGGCUGCAAUUCGCCCUCAUGAAGGAGGAAUUGCUAGUAAUCGCUGAUCAGCAGGCAGCGGUGAAUACGUUCCCGGGCCUUGUACACACCGCCCGUCACACCAUGGAAGCUGGCUGUAACAGAAUCUUGGAGUUUUUCGAGAGAAGUUAUGGUUAGUGACUGGGGUGAAGUCGUAACAAGGUAGACGUACGAGAACGUGC
This 1522-nucleotide ribosomal RNA is filed under the name metagenome. RNAcentral describes it as "bacterial SSU rRNA". It matches the Rfam family "Bacterial small subunit ribosomal RNA". The record is from RNAcentral.